AUGUUGUAUAAAAAGCAUGUUCAAACUUUGGCAGGUAUCAUUCAAUUCGAGCUAUUUGUAAAAGCAACUUCUAACUCACCUACAAGCAAGUACUCAAAACUAUCAAGAUGUUCAAAUUGAUUUUUGCCGUCAUUUUCUUCUUUGCUGUUGCAUCAAACGCCGUACCAGUAGCCAAGCCACAGUUCAUUUCAGGUGUUUAUCCAAGUGUUUAUUCAUCUGGUAUUCUUCCUGUGGUGUCUCAUGCUUCUUAUGCACCUGUAGCUACCUCUCAUGUUGUUGCAUCGCCUCUGUACAGCUAUCCAUCCCUUUAUAGUUCAUACGGCGGACUUGGUUACACUACAUACUUCUAAAUGGCCGAUUGAUCAAAGUUUCGAAUUAUACAGACCAAUUUAAAUCAUUUUAUCGUGUAAUACAAAAGAAAUGAAAUAAAUCUUCCUUUUAAGCAAAUUCAAAA
Molecule: long non-coding RNA, 454 nt
Organism: Contarinia nasturtii (swede midge)
Lineage: Eukaryota; Metazoa; Arthropoda; Insecta; Diptera; Cecidomyiidae
Exons: 2
Source: RefSeq, a predicted model, not a curated record